Non-coding RNA from Pelobates cultripes (western spadefoot toad), 742 nucleotides. The record is from the annotation of a GenBank genome assembly. Lineage: Eukaryota; Metazoa; Chordata; Amphibia; Anura; Pelobatidae.
CCUGGAAAUCACUGUUCAAAUGACAGCCACUAUACAUGGCAUAGGCAGCAAUGUAAAUACUGCCUUGUCUGUAGUCUUUUUCCCCAGAACCACAUUGAGCUACAGAGGUGGUUUCCUCGAGUUUCCCUUUAAUAUACAUUUAAAAGAAAGUUGUGAAUUGCAUGGGAAAUUAUUAACACAAGUUAUAGCCAAUUUUCAAUGUUUUAUUCAAUGGUAUAGUUUCCAGAAAAAAUAAAAAAGUUAAGUUUCAAACAAUAUGCAAAAUCCAUACAUUUUUUUAGAGUAAAACUUAUCUAAAUCAUGGGAUGUCUACACUGUUCAAGAGCAUGGCUUAAAAUAAAUCCCAUUUUAUCCCACAGGCUCUAAGCGUAGAUGAACAUACAAAAAGAAAGGUUUGGGCAUCAUAUCAUCUAAAUGAAGUUGGUAUGGUGCCAGGAGGUACCCAGGCUCAUUUUACUUCAAGGGGUUCCCAAAGUUGCCUCUAGUGUCAAUCUCAGCUGCCCCCUAGGUGGCAUCAGGCUUCUAAAAUUUCAGUUUCAGCAAGCGGUGGGUGGGGGCACCACUGAUUGCCUGAGAGCUUCUCAGCCAAUCAAUGACUCCCCAUUCACAAAACUGGCUUAGAAAAAGUAUGUUUCGUUCCAAGUAAAUAAGGAGUCACUGACACUUAAAGGUUUAGCCCCUGGAGGUAAGAGUGAGCCCGGGAGCCUCCUGGCACCAUAACUACAUUUAGAUGAACUUGUUU